This 73-nucleotide transfer RNA is filed under the name Xanthocytophaga agilis. Its description in RNAcentral is "tRNA-Glu". It matches the Rfam family "tRNA". Rfam says of the family: Transfer RNA (tRNA) molecules are approximately 80 nucleotides in length. The record is from RNAcentral. Lineage: Bacteria; Pseudomonadati; Bacteroidota; Cytophagia; Cytophagales; Rhodocytophagaceae.
GAGGCUGUAGUUCAACUGGAAGAACGCCUUCUUUUCAGGAAGGAAGUUGGGAGUUCGACUCUCCCUAGUCUCA